UAAGAUUAAGAACGGUCACCUGGUGGGGUC
Molecule: non-coding RNA, 30 nt
Filed under: Homo sapiens (human)
Lineage: Eukaryota; Metazoa; Chordata; Mammalia; Primates; Hominidae
Source: RNAcentral